Molecule: long non-coding RNA, 792 nt
Filed under: Ananas comosus (pineapple)
Lineage: Eukaryota; Viridiplantae; Streptophyta; Magnoliopsida; Poales; Bromeliaceae
Description: long non-coding RNA (ACOM_LNC026904)
Source: RNAcentral
UUUGAUGGUGGUAUGCUCACAAUUCAGCUCGCCAUUCACAAGCCAGACCUUAUUCGAUUUAAAAUAAACUCAAAAUCAAUUAGCCUGUUUAAUAAAUAAGUCGAAUACGAAUUGAAUUUUUCGAAUUUCGAGUUGAACGUGAGUUGGUAUCACAUAGAUCAUUUUCGGCUCAAUAAUAAAAGAGAUUUGGAAAAAAACUACCACGUCUGAAAAAAAAAAUUGUGCUGAUGAUGACGAUGAAAAUAUUAUUUUAUAAAAAAUUUUAAGUUGAAAAUGAAACAAAAAAAAAUAAAAAUAAAAAAUAGAUAGUAAAAAAUUAAAAAAAAGAAAGAAGUAAAAGAGCGGCUAGGAUUUCACUAGGAUGAAAAAUACGUAGACCCCUCAUCUAUAAGUUCUAUUAAAAUUGAUUUCUCAACUUCAAGAGUUCAAAUUUUUUUCAUUUACUAUCGGAUAUUUUACCGGAUUCGGGUCUGGAUAUGGUUCGGGUCAGGUAUGAAAUAUCAGAUAUUUUGGACAGCUUUACUCGAUAUCUCGUAUAUAUAUAAAGAGAAUUGAGCUAGAAUACUUUUAAUAGCAAUAAUGAUUAGCAUCAAGUUAUUUGUGUUAAACUUUAUAAAAAUUAAGAUAGUACAUUCUGCCAUGAUUUCAAUUUCUAUACCCGGAUUGUAAAUGGCGAUCCUUGCUUGUGGUUCGUCAUCGUUCACGAUCAGCAAAUGAGCAGGACGUUUCGAAUUUAAUUCUCUUAUCCCUAGAUAUAGAGCCGUCAUAGAGGGUUAGACCGGGACUCCCAUA